UUAUGGCCAUAUCAAGUUGAAACAUUAGUUCACAUAAGAUCACUGAAGUUAAGCAACAUAGAGCCUGGUCAGUACCUAGAUAGUUGACCAUUUAGGAAUACCAGAUAUUGUAAG
Molecule: non-coding RNA, 114 nt
Organism: Acanthosepion pharaonis
Lineage: Eukaryota; Metazoa; Mollusca; Cephalopoda; Sepiida; Sepiidae
Source: the annotation of a GenBank genome assembly